GAAGCAGAAUAUGAACUCUUAUGUCCCCGCUUGAUUUCCCGAUGCAGGACAUCAGAGGGACAAGACAAAUACUGAGGAACUGAUGCUGCUGGUACUGGUGGAGCUGUUGCAGCUGUUGGAGUUGGCUCUGCUGCUGCAGGGCCAGAUGAGCGUGAUGCUGCUGAAGGUUGGUGUGUCCCGCGCCCCCCAUCGGCCCCGCAGAUGGUACGCCCCAGCUCUGCCACUCGAUCAUGUGGGCGACGCGACCCUGGGCCAUAGCGGUGGGCUUGGUCACUUUGUCCUUCAUGGAGCGAGACACACCUAAA
This is a long non-coding RNA of Centropristis striata (black sea bass), 305 nucleotides long. RefSeq lists it as uncharacterized. The record is from RefSeq and is a predicted model, not a curated record. NCBI's taxonomy places the organism in Eukaryota, Metazoa, Chordata, Actinopteri, Perciformes, Serranidae. The transcript has 3 exons.